RNAcentral lists this transfer RNA (67 nucleotides) under Lasiolabops cosmopolites. RNAcentral describes it as "tRNA-Cys". The record is from RNAcentral. Lineage: Eukaryota; Metazoa; Arthropoda; Insecta; Hemiptera; Miridae.
GGUUUUAUAGUCAUUAUAUAUGUGAUAUCAAGUUGCAAGCUUGAAGGGGUAUUUUAUACUAAAGCUU